RNAcentral lists this unclassified non-coding RNA (3930 nucleotides) under Daphnia pulicaria. RNAcentral describes it as "cohesin subunit SA-1-like, transcript variant X1". The record is from RNAcentral. Lineage: Eukaryota; Metazoa; Arthropoda; Branchiopoda; Diplostraca; Daphniidae.
CCCUCUUAUUCAUAUUCAUAGCUGUCAUUGCUCUGAUGAAGCCGGUCUCUAAAGCACGUUCUAAUACUAAAACAAAAAGUUAGCUUUCAGUUUGUUGCUGUGUUAUUUCAUGAUUGACGGUUAUUUUCCAAGGAAAAUAUUAUAAAUUACAGAACAAAAGUAAUUACUCAGCCUAAAGAACUAGAAAUGCAACGUAGAAGAGGGAAAAAAGUAAAGAUGGACAAUCCUCUCGAGGAUUCUGAACCACCAUCCACUUCUUAUUUGGAUGAGCAGCAAACUCCAAUGGAUCAGCAAAGUGAGAAUUGUGAAAAUGUACACCUACAUUCUGAUUUCGAUACUCCUUCCAAAAUGGAACAUGAUAAAAAUAGUGUUCCUGUGCAGCAGAAUUUGAAUGUUCUCAGUUCAAAUCAGGCGGAAAAUACCACAGUCCCAACUCUUUCUGUUGGGCAUGGACAGACACCUGAAAGUGCUCGUGGCCAAACUUCAGUUACUCCUACUGGGAAGAAGGCCCCUGCAGUUACUGCAAAUUCUCAGAAAUUAGUAUCUAGCCCAGAAGGUACUCCCACAUCCACACGUCCUUCUCUUCGACGUAGAGGACGGUCAAAGAAACAUUCAGAGACGGAACAUGUUGCUAAUGUUGAAGAUGAAAGUGAUUUAUUUAGUAUUAUCAGGAAUGGCAAAAGCUCCUUACAGCACAUUGUAGAUGAAUGGAUUGAGCAGUACAAGGCUGACCGUGACUCAGGGUUAAACGCUAUAAUGCAGUUCUUCAUUAGUGCUUCAGGAUGCAACGGGAAAAUACCAUCUAAAAUACCAAGUAGCAUGGAUCAUGCCGCAGUUAUCCGCGAUAUGACAAAAAAGUUUGAUGAGGAUAGUGGAGAAUAUCCGUUGGUCAUGUCUGGACCACAAUGGAGAAAAUUUCGAAGCAACUUCUGCGACUUCGUGCACACACUCGUGAAGCAGUGCCAAUAUUCCAUAAUUUAUGAACAAUACCUGAUGGAUAACGUAAUAUCACUUCUUACUGGUCUUUCUGAUUCACAAGUCCGAGCGUUUCGUCAUACUGCCACCUUAGCUGUUAUGAAAUUAAUGACUGCCUUGGUUGAUGUGGCUCUGACUGUGUCGGUUCAUCUUGACAACACGUCUCGUCAGUAUGAAGUUGAGCGUCGGAAAACACAGGAUAAACGAGCCAGUGAUCGCCUUGAAGGAUUGCUUGCCAAACACGAAGAACUUGAAGAAAACAUGCAUGACAUUAAAAACAUGUUGACUUACUUAUUCAAGUCGGUGUUUGUCCAUCGUUACCGAGAUAUCGUUCCCGAUAUUCGAGCCAUUUGUAUGACGGAAAUAGGCAUUUGGAUGAAACGGUUUCCCCAAAAUUUUCUUGAUGAUUCUAACCUGAAGUAUAUUGGGUGGAAUUUGCACGACAAAGUUGCCGAUGUUCGUUUAAAAUGUCUUCAAGCUCUCCAACCGCUGUAUGCUUCACAAGAGCUUAAAGAAAAACUGGAACUUUUUACCAGCAAAUUUAAGGAUCGUGUCGUUUCGAUGACGCUAGACAAAGACUAUGAUGUUUCAGUCCAAGCUGUUCGUUUGGUUAUCACUAUGCAAAAGUAUCACCAAGAAAUGUUAUCAGACAAGGAUUGUGAGUCAGUUUACGAGUUGGUGUUCUCUUCUCAUCGAGCCCUUGCACAAGCUGCCGGCGAAUUCCUUAAAGAGAGACUAUUCACACUUAAUGCUACCAGUCAUCCAGCUCCACGUACUCUCCUUGGCAAAAAGAGACUACCUAACACACCUCUCAUUCGUGAUUUGGUUCAAUUUUUCAUUGAAUCUGAGUUGCAUGAACACGGAGCAUAUUUGAUCGACUCCUUAAUCGACUCAAAUGAAAUGAUGAAAGACUGGGAGUGCAUGACGGAUUUGUUAAUUGAAGAACCUGGGCCAGACGAAGAGCCUUUGGACGAUCAGCAGGAAACAGCUUUGAUCGAGUUGAUGACAUGCUGCAUUAAACAAGUUGCGACUGGAGAACCACCUGCAGGUCGAGGGUCUAUGAGAAAGAUUCCUACCGUCAAAGAAACCAGACAAACCCAAGGUCACCGUGUACGACUUACUGAACAUUUCAUACCAACUCUUCCUCUGUUACUCGGGAAAUAUAUGACUGAUCCCGAACAAGUUGCAAACCUCUUGUCAAUCCCUCAAUACCUUAAUAUGGAAAUCUAUACUACCUCACGUCAAGAGAAGAGUCUAGAUUCGUUAUUGCGCUUGAUCCAGAAUAUAGUAGAAAGACACACCACAACAGAAGUGCUGGAAGGCUGCGCUAAAGCGUUGGAAUUUCUUUGUGAUGAAGAUUACGCCAUAUCUUCUCGAUGUGAUUUAACAAGGAACACUUUAAUUGAUCAUCUCGUUAAGAAAUGCGAACAAGAUUAUGAAAAUUAUGUAACACUGAUGGCUGGCGACGAAGAGCCCAACAAAGAUGCGGUGUUUACGCUGGUAUUGGGUUUGAAAAAAAUUGCCUUAUUCUCGUCACAUCACAAUCUUGGGACAUGGAAUUUGUGGGAUUCUCUGUUUAACGCAAUUCAAGAAACUAUAAACCUUAAUCGGAAAAUGCCACUUGAAGCUAUAAAAUAUUGCAUUUCAGCUUGCCAUUCUGCUGUUUUAUGGGAGCUUCUGCAAUUCAAAAAUUGUUCUGGACAAAGAACGUCUGCCGCUCAACAACAGAAACAAUUAAGAGAUCAUUUGGACGCCUACAUGUCUUUGAUGACUGAGCUAAUCACUUCGAACGUUGCUGAUUUUAGAGAAGAGGCAUACGUGUCUGUAGGGGAUUUGCUUAUAUGUUUUAGCAAGCGUCUAAAAGACAAUCCUCAGUUAAAACCGCUUGUUUACGAGCCUGAUCGUAACCUACAACAAAUUCUGGAAAACUUCAUUCAGACUUAUGUGUUUGUUGAAGAAGAAGAAGAAGAUGUAGACGAGGAAGGCGACGAACAUAAAAAAAUUGAAAAAUUGCACAAUCGCCGGAACUAUUUAUCGGUUUUCUGCAAACUCGUAGCUUGCAACGUCUUGCCUGUAAAAGCUGCGGCAGGUGUUAUUAGACACUAUGUCAAGUAUUACGAUGAUUACGGUGACAUCAUUAAGACAUUAUUGGGAAAAACUCGAAACAUCAACAGAAUUACCAGUGCAAAAACUAUGGUUCUUAGUCUCUCAUUGCUGUUUCACGAUCUAACAAGGGAUGGUGGAAGUCGUAUUGAUCGGCAGUCAGAAGAAUUUCUUAGUGUCAAGGAAUUGGCCAAAAAAUUGGCCAUGUCAUUUGGACUCGAUAUGGUGAAAAAUCGCGAAGCUAUCACCGCCCUUCAUAGAGAUGGAAUUAUUUUUGCCACAAAUCCACUCGAGAAUCCAAAUAAUCCUAUUGGCCCUCCUCCUAAUUUAGGGUUUCUUGAAAUUUGUGGCGAGUUUUCAAACAAACUGCUAAAACAAGACAAAAAGGUGGUUUUACAGUUUUUGGACCGAAUGCUGACCAUGGGAAGGCUUUCACCUCGUCGAGAAUGGGAACCUCUCUUGUUCUACCGGAAUUCCUUGGUUCAUGGCGAAACUGAUCCAUCUCCGCAUUCUGUCAGGAGCGCUAACAGACGACGUCGUCGCGAUACAGGUGGAGACGACGGUGAAAUCGCUGAUAACGAUGAUGGAUCAGAUCAGGAUUUUGCCGAGUGCGGGUAAUAUUACCCGGUUUGACUUCAGCAUUUGAGUCUUGUGAAUGAAUGAAGUGAAUUCAAAGUAACAUAACAUGAAAUGUUAGUUUUUAUUAACGUUUGGUGAGGUGCUUUGUUAUUUAUCCUUUUGGCUACUGAACUGCGACACGUAAAUUUCCAUUUUAACCAUGGAUCCUGCUGUUAGAUGACGUACGAUCGCACUUGUUGGAUUCUCUAGGAUAAAUAAACACAGUUAACAGUU